RNAcentral lists this long non-coding RNA (1173 nucleotides) under Homo sapiens (human). RNAcentral's name for it is "HSALNT0086956". The record is from RNAcentral. Lineage: Eukaryota; Metazoa; Chordata; Mammalia; Primates; Hominidae.
UUGAAAGCCUCUUAUGAGGUUGCAGUCAAGUGGUUGGCCAGACCCAUAGUCAUCUCAAAGUUACAUUGAGAGUAGGUCUUCUUCCAAACUUCCUCACAUUGACCUGUCCACAGGGAGGCUUCAGGAAAUGGCAAUUGGCUUCCUCCACAGUGAACCAUCCAAAGGGACAGAGAGAGCACUCCUGGAGAGAACAAGAGAAUGCCCGAGACAGAAGCUGCAGUCUUUUUGUAACCUAACCAUGGCAAUUUCCACCAGAUUUGAGGAGGCAGGAAGGAGAUGCAGCAGAACGGAAAAUCAGAGAGAUUCCAAGCAUAAGAAGGAUUUGGUGCGCUGUUGCUGGUUCUGAGAUGGAGGAAGCCACGUGCAAGGACUGAAGAGAGGCCUGUGGAACCUGAGGAUGGCCCGCAGCUGAUAGCCUGCAAAUAAAUGGAAUCUCAGUCCUAUAACUGCAAGGAAUUAGACUCUGCCAAUGUCAGUGAGCUUGGAAGCAGAUUCUUUCCUAGAGCCCUAGUCAGGGACACAGCCUUGCUGAUACCUUGAUUUUAGCCUGGAGAAAUCUGUGUGGGACUUCUAACUCACAGAAGUGUUAGAUAAUAAAUGGAUGUUUUUCUUAGCCGCUGAACUCAUAGUAAUCUGUUAUGGCAACAAUAAAAAACUAAUACAAAGUGUACGAGAUACAAAUCUCUUGUGUUUCUUUUUUUUUUUUUUUUUCCUAAUACACAGGAGUGAGGCAGGCAGCUCGUUAUGGUGAUAGGUGAAAUUCUCCUUAGGAACCAAUAUUUGAGGGGAACUCCAAGGUGUCUAGAAGGCUCUAUCAACCUAAGGAAUUUAGUGCACACAGAAAAGAGCAUGAGGGAUGUCCACAGAAGGCACUAACUCAUCCCCCGCAUAAUGUGAAGCAGGCUGCUCAGCUGAGUCUAGUUUAUACUGCACCGCCCCCUGACUCCACCACUACCCCUUUCUCACAGACUUGGGAGAGUUUCAGCCCAGCCCAGCCCAGCCCUCAGGCCCCUACAUGGAUAUUGAGAGCAGCUGGGAAGGGGAUGGAACAAUAAAGAGCUCACAUUUAGGUAAUAAAAGAGGGUAAGCAUAGAAGCCAAUAAACUAAACAAGAAUAGACCUCAUCAAUUAACCCCCACUAAGGCAGAGUCCCAGCAUGAAAAUAGAUUCAUC